RNAcentral lists this ribosomal RNA (250 nucleotides) under uncultured bacterium. Its description in RNAcentral is "partial 16S ribosomal RNA". It matches the Rfam family "Bacterial small subunit ribosomal RNA", at positions 15 to 248 of the family's 1533-position model. The record is from RNAcentral.
GAUCAUGGCUCAGGAUGAACGCUGGCGGCGUGCUUAACACAUGCAAGUCGAACGGGAAACCUUUUAAAGAAGCUUCGGCAAAUUUAGCUGGUUUCUAGUGGCGGACGGGUGAGUAACGCGUGGGUAACCUGCCUUGUACAGGGGGAUAACAGUCAGAAAUGACUGCUAAUACCGCAUAAGCGCACAGGACCGCAUGGUCCAGUGUGAAAAACUCCGGUGGUAUAAGAUGGACCCGCGUUGGAUUAGCUGG